Long non-coding RNA from Cyprinus carpio (common carp), 214 nucleotides. RefSeq lists it as uncharacterized. NCBI's taxonomy places the organism in Eukaryota, Metazoa, Chordata, Actinopteri, Cypriniformes, Cyprinidae. The record is from RefSeq and is a predicted model, not a curated record. The transcript is spliced from 2 exons.
AAUUAGGAGAUCUGGAUUGGGAGAAGCUCUCUGCUCUUUUUUGAUGGACUCUCAUAGCAAACUGGAGAAAAUGAAGCUGAAUAAUUGUGAGCUGACAGAGAAAAGCUGUUCGGUUCUAGCUACCGUCUCUCUCCUCCAAAACAGUCCUGAAAGAGAUGAACCUGAACAACAGCCGUCUGCUGGACUCAGGAGUCAAAGAGAUCUGUGAGGGACU